CUGAAGUGAUCUGCCCACCUCGGCUUCCCAAAGUGCUGGGACUGCAGGUGUGAGCCACUGCGCCUGGCCCCUUCAGGUGGGUUUUGAGGCUUCACGUUGCUGCUGCAAUAAAUUACCACACACUUAGUGGCUUAAAACAGCACAGAGGUAUUCCCUUACAUUUCUGAAGGCCAGAAUUCUAAAAUCAGUCCCACUGAGUCAAGGUGGGAGCAGGGUCAGUGCCUUCCCAGGCUCUGCGGGAGAAUCUGUUUCCUGGCCCUGGAGGCGGCCUGUACUCCUUAGCUUGUGCUGCCCUUCUGGAAUGACUCGAGUUUCCUGCUUUCAUCACUACACCUCCCACCGCUCUCCAUCACCUGCUGUGCUCUUACGAGGAUCCAGCUGAGACAUGUUUUAGGAAGUUUGCUAAAAGACCCCUGGAGACGUCCUCAUUGUGGCCUCCCUGCUGUUGUGUUUAAUUUGGUUGAUCUUCUCUGCCCUCCUGCUUUUCAGAAUUAAAAGGCUAAAAAGAGUUUUCAGAGAAAUGGAAUAAUUGUAUUGCUGAUCUACGUAAACAAGUUGAAGAAUUGUCUGAAAGAAAAUAUGGUGUGUCUGAACUGGAAAAGUCCUGUGAUAGUUUGUUCAUGAGCAUUUACACAAUGGAGUUACUGUUCAUCAUGGGGGUACUGUGGACAAGCCCAGGGCUGCUGACAUAAUCUUAUGAAUUCAACACAUGAAGAUUUACAACUUGAUAAACCAGCUUCAGGAGAUCAGAACUUCUUACAAUACAACUGAUGUUACUCAGCCUAGAACAAAUACAACAGGGAUUGUGCUGCAUUCUGACUUAGGUUCUGCCAUCGAACACAGAAUGCCCUGAUCCUUAGAGGCAGAGGCAGCUCUUCAGCCUAUGGGAAAACUGUGGAUUUAGUUACUCCACUCUGCCAUGUCCUUCCACCACUGCCUGCACAUUUGAGACCAAGGAUAGAGAUUGGGAAAAAUCCAUAGUUCUCCUGACUCAGAGUUUGGCUCCGGCACUCUCAUUUCAGCCAUAGCUGCAGACAAAGCACACGACUGCUGGGCACUGUGGCUCAAGAGAAGGGGGAGAUGCAGGAAGAAGAUGAGCCUUAAGUCUGAACACUGAGGAAUUCAUGUGCAUCAGUCAGACCUCCUGUGCAAGGAAGGAUGUGGUUACUACGGCAACCCUGCCUGGCAGGGUUUCUGCUCCAAGUGCUGGAGGGAAGAGUACCACAAAGCCAGGCAGAAGGAGAUUCAGGAGGACUGGGAGCUGGCGGAGCGACUCCAGUGGGAGGAAGAGGCCUUUGCCAGCAGUCAGAGCAGCCAAGGGGCCCAAUCCCUCACAUUCUCCAAGUUUGAAGGAAAGAAAACCAACGAGAAGACCCACGAGGUUACCACAGUGAAGAAAUCUUCAGUGCGUCUUCCAGGGUCGGAUCAAAGAAGGCAGAAAUUCAGGAAGCAAAAGCCAGUCCUUCCAUAAACCGGCGAACCAGCAUUGAAACGGAUAGAGUGUCUAAGGAGUUCAUAGAAUUUCUCAAGACCUUCCACAAGACAGGCCAAGAAAUCUAUAAACAGACCAAGCUGUUUUUGGAAGGGAUGCAUUACAAAAGGUGCCUCCAGAAAGGGUUGAGAAGAUAAUGGAUCAGAUUGAAAAGUACAUCAUGACUCAUCUCUGUAAAUAUGCGUUCUGUCCAGAACCCCAGUGAGCCUGGAAGACUGGGUGCUAUGGGAAAUGUCAUCAAUCCAAUGCUAGUGAAAGAUGUGACUGGGGAAUGCUGAAAAAUGCGCACCCCUGGGAGGAAUGAGGAAAGAUGACAUCCACUGACUUGUUAUUUUUUUGAGAAGGAGUCUUGCUCUGUUGCCCAGGCUGGAGUGUGGUGGCACGAUCUCGGCUCACUGAUGAUGAGAAGAAAGAUCUUGCCAUUCAAAAGAGGAUCAGAGUGGAAGCUUCUCUGUGGUGUCAGAAAGACGAGGAAUGUGGUGACCUCACCUAUCCAUCUCCCUCAAGGCAGCUUUUGUUUUUCUGCAGUGACCGUACUUGCAAUAAUUAAACAUAGUUGGUCAUUUAAAAUACAUCUCUGAUACUCUCGUCAAAGGUGGAGCCCAGUCCCUAUCGCCUUGAGUGAGGGCUGGGUUACGUGAUUCCCUUCUGACAGAUAGGAAAAAGCAAAAGUGAUGGCUUGCAACUUUGCAAACUACAUCAUAAAAGGUACUGUGGCUUCCUCCUUGCUCACUCUUUGAUUACUCACUUGGGAAAGCCAGCUGUCACACCAUGACACCUAAGCAGCCUGUAGAGAGGCUCAUGUAACAGGAACUGAGGCCUCCUGUCAGCAGUCACAUGAGGGAGCCAUCUUGGAAACAGGCUUUAGGUGACUGCAGUCUCAGUGGACAGCUUGAGUGCAAUGUCAUGAGACACCCUGAGCCCAAAUGACCCAGCUAUGCCACUCCUGAAUUCCUGACCCACAGAAAUGGAGAUCCUAACUUAAGUUCUUGGACUCACUGAGGCAGUAAAAGAACCAUAUCCUGUGUUUGAAUCAAAUCCCAAGUUCCUGUACGUAGAAGGUUUGCCAGACAGGAUUCCCUUUCGAAGCCCUCCUGGUUUGGAAUUCCAUGACUUGAAAGGAUCGUCCAUGGGAGUAAUAAAAUCAAAUUUGUUGGUAAAAAACCUGAACUGGUUAUUUCCUACUUGCCUCCUGGAGUUGCUAAUAAAAUAAACACUAAAGCUUCGCAGUUUCUAAAAAGACCAUGAAGCCCUGAGAGUAAUGAAAAGGUUCCUGAAAUUGAGGUCACUGUGGAAGCUGAGGCACAUGCCUUGGGAGCUAAGUGGCUGCUGCACUUGACCACUAUGAAGACUGGUGUGGGAAGAAUCCUUUUGGAUGCACUUGCAGGGGCCCCUAAUCCCUGGGUCACAGGACUAUAAUGGGCUACAUGGCAGGAGAUGGGACCAUCUAGUUGCAGGAAAAGAAGGUCAAGACUCCCAGUCAUUCUACAUUAUGCCUCAGCCAAGAUGUCUCACCCCACUCUCUCUGAUGCAACAAGAAGCCCCUGGAGAACGUUUCAGUCCCAUUUUGUACUUCUGUCAUGUGCUCAUCACAGUCUGGUGGAAUUUAAAUGACCUCUUAUCAAGAUGGAUAAACCCAAGUUUCCCAGUGCUGGAAUAUAGAAAAUGGAUGGACAAGUAAGUCCCACUCAGCACCCAUAGCCCAGACAUGGGGACCUCAACACACCUGGGCCCCAGACAUCACCUUUCAUUCCGAGGCAUAUGCCAUUCAAGCUAAGGGUGCUACACUUGACCACUGCGGCAGUAUAGAUGAGUCUGAAGAAUGGUAUGGGAUGGAUACUUACGAAUGCACUCGAGCAGGGGUCUCCAUCCACAGGGCCACAGAGCCAGAGGUGAGCAGCAGCUGGAUCUACCAUGAAAGACUUCAGAGUCCAGGAAGAGAGACUGAUUGGGCAACAUGUUAUUCAGUUACAAAAAGACUUGGACUAUGACUCAAAAAUGAUCAAAUAAUAGUGCAUGCAUCCAAUGCAAUAAGAAGCACUUCUGGAGGGUGAGAGAAGCAUCCAGUUAAGGUGACAUUGAAGCUGGGUCCUGAAAGAUGAGGAAGAAUUGUAUGAGAGUGGGCAGAGAAGGGGGAGGUGGAGGGAUGGGGAAUGGGCUGAGAUGGAGUGAGCUGCUCAAGCAGGGAAACCAGCACUGUAAAGACCUGGUCAAUAAAGAUGGCACAUUUUAUUCAGGGAAUGGUGAAUUAAUUGUGGCAGGAAUGCUUUGGAGAGAGAGUAAUUUGCUUGUAUGGAAUUUUGCCCAAGAGACCUCAUUACAGUUUCUAAUCUUUUGAUGUUAUCGUCUAUCACUGUCCUUGUCAGAUAGUUUGGAAUAGGUAUAAUGAUCACAAUAACAUCAAGCAUAAUAUUUCAUUAAUUCUCACAAAAUCACAGGUAGGUGCCACAGUUAUCCCCAUUUUGUGAAUGAAGUGAUGAAGACUUAGGAAUGAUGAGUGAUUGCCCAAGCUCACCUGGAUAUUAAGAGGUCUUGCUCUGUUGUCCAGGCUGGAAUGUGGUAGUGCUAU
This 4061-nucleotide long non-coding RNA is filed under the name Homo sapiens (human). RNAcentral's name for it is "HSALNT0341577". Lineage: Eukaryota; Metazoa; Chordata; Mammalia; Primates; Hominidae. The record is from RNAcentral.